Molecule: ribosomal RNA, 2902 nt
Filed under: Escherichia coli UMEA 3216-1
Lineage: Bacteria; Pseudomonadati; Pseudomonadota; Gammaproteobacteria; Enterobacterales; Enterobacteriaceae
Description: bacterial LSU rRNA
Rfam family: Bacterial large subunit ribosomal RNA
Source: RNAcentral
UUAAGCGACUAAGCGUACACGGUGGAUGCCCUGGCAGUCAGAGGCGAUGAAGGACGUGCUAAUCUGCGAUAAGCGUCGGUGAGGUGAUAUGAACCGUUAUAACCGGCGAUUUCCGAAUGGGGAAACCCAGUGUGUUUCGACACACUAUCAUUAACUGAAUCCAUAGGUUAAUGAGGCGAACCGGGGGAACUGAAACAUCUAAGUACCCCGAGGAAAAGAAAUCAACCGAGAUUCCCCCAGUAGCGGCGAGCGAACGGGGAGGAGCCCAGAGCCUGAAUCAGUGUGUGUGUUAGUGGAAGCGUCUGGAAAGGCGUGCGAUACAGGGUGACAGCCCCGUACACAAAAAUGCACAUAUUGUGAGCUCGAUGAGUAGGGCGGGACACGUGGUAUCCUGUCUGAAUAUGGGGGGACCAUCCUCCAAGGCUAAAUACUCCUGACUGACCGAUAGUGAACCAGUACCGUGAGGGAAAGGCGAAAAGAACCCCGGCGAGGGGAGUGAAAAAGAACCUGAAACCGUGUACGUACAAGCAGUGGGAGCCUCUUAAUGGGGUGACUGCGUACCUUUUGUAUAAUGGGUCAGCGACUUAUAUUCUGUAGCAAGGUUAACCGAAUAGGGGAGCCGAAGGGAAACCGAGUCUUAACUGGGCGUUAAGUUGCAGGGUAUAGACCCGAAACCCGGUGAUCUAGCCAUGGGCAGGUUGAAGGUUGGGUAACACUAACUGGAGGACCGAACCGACUAAUGUUGAAAAAUUAGCGGAUGACUUGUGGCUGGGGGGGAAAGGCCAAUCAAACCGGGAGAUAGCUGGUUCUCCCCGAAAGCUAUUUAGGUAGCGCCUCGUGAAUUCAUCUCCGGGGGUAGAGCACUGUUUCGGCAAGGGGGUCAUCCCGACUUACCAACCCGAUGCAAACUGCGAAUACCGGAGAAUGUUAUCACGGGAGACACACGGCGGGUGCUAACGUCCGUCGUGAAGAGGGAAACAACCCAGACCGCCAGCUAAGGUCCCAAAGUCAUGGUUAAGUGGGAAACGAUGUGGGAAGGCCCAGACAGCCAGGAUGUUGGCUUAGAAGCAGCCAUCAUUUAAAGAAAGCGUAAUAGCUCACUGGUCGAGUCGGCCUGCGCGGAAGAUGUAACGGGGCUAAACCAUGCACCGAAGCUGCGGCAGCGACACUAUGUGUUGUUGGGUAGGGGAGCGUUCUGUAAGCCUGUGAAGGUGGCCUGUGAGGGUUGCUGGAGGUAUCAGAAGUGCGAAUGCUGACAUAAGUAACGAUAAAGCGGGUGAAAAGCCCGCUCGCCGGAAGACCAAGGGUUCCUGUCCAACGUUAAUCGGGGCAGGGUGAGUCGACCCCUAAGGCGAGGCCGAAAGGCGUAGUCGAUGGGAAACAGGUUAAUAUUCCCGUACUUGGUGUUACUGCGAAGGGGGGACGGAGAAGGCUAUGUUGGCCGGGCGACGGUUGUCCCGGUUUAAGCGUGUAGGCUGGUUUUCCAGGCAAAUCCGGAAAACCAAGGCUGAGGCGUGAUGACGAGGCACUACGGUGCUGAAGUGACAAAUGCCCUGCUUCCAGGAAAAGCCUCUAAGCAUCAGGUAACAUCAAAUCGUACCCAAAACCGACACAGGUGGUCAGGUAGAGAAUACCAAGGCGCUUGAGAGAACUCGGGUGAAGGAACUAGGCAAAAUGGUGCCGUAACUUCGGGAGAAGGCACGCUGAUAUGUAGGUGAAGCGACUUGCUCGUGGAGCUGAAAUCAGUCGAAGAUACCAGCUGGCUGCAACUGUUUAUUAAAAACACAGCACUGUGCAAACACGAAAGUGGACGUAUACGGUGUGACGCCUGCCCGGUGCCGGAAGGUUAAUUGAUGGGGUUAGCGGCAACGCGAAGCUCUUGAUCGAAGCCCCGGUAAACGGCGGCCGUAACUAUAACGGUCCUAAGGUAGCGAAAUUCCUUGUCGGGUAAGUUCCGACCUGCACGAAUGGCGUAAUGAUGGCCAGGCUGUCUCCACCCGAGACUCAGUGAAAUUGAACUCGCUGUGAAGAUGCAGUGUACCCGCGGCAAGACGGAAAGACCCCGUGAACCUUUACUAUAGCUUGACACUGAACAUUGAGCCUUGAUGUGUAGGAUAGGUGGGAGGCUUUGAAGUGUGGACGCCAGUCUGCAUGGAGCCGACCUUGAAAUACCACCCUUUAAUGUUUGAUGUUCUAACGUUGACCCGUAAUCCGGGUUGCGGACAGUGUCUGGUGGGUAGUUUGACUGGGGCGGUCUCCUCCUAAAGAGUAACGGAGGAGCACGAAGGUUGGCUAAUCCUGGUCGGACAUCAGGAGGUUAGUGCAAUGGCAUAAGCCAGCUUGACUGCGAGCGUGACGGCGCGAGCAGGUGCGAAAGCAGGUCAUAGUGAUCCGGUGGUUCUGAAUGGAAGGGCCAUCGCUCAACGGAUAAAAGGUACUCCGGGGAUAACAGGCUGAUACCGCCCAAGAGUUCAUAUCGACGGCGGUGUUUGGCACCUCGAUGUCGGCUCAUCACAUCCUGGGGCUGAAGUAGGUCCCAAGGGUAUGGCUGUUCGCCAUUUAAAGUGGUACGCGAGCUGGGUUUAGAACGUCGUGAGACAGUUCGGUCCCUAUCUGCCGUGGGCGCUGGAGAACUGAGGGGGGCUGCUCCUAGUACGAGAGGACCGGAGUGGACGCAUCACUGGUGUUCGGGUUGUCAUGCCAAUGGCACUGCCCGGUAGCUAAAUGCGGAAGAGAUAAGUGCUGAAAGCAUCUAAGCACGAAACUUGCCCCGAGAUGAGUUCUCCCUGACUCCUUGAGGGUCCUGAAGGAACGUUGAAGACGACGACGUUGAUAGGCCGGGUGUGUAAGCGCAGCGAUGCGUUGAGCUAACCGGUACUAAUGAACCGUGAGGCUUAACCUU